UCAUAUUGGUUCCUGAACUGCAGAGUGAGU
This 30-nucleotide non-coding RNA is filed under the name Mus musculus (house mouse). The record is from RNAcentral. Lineage: Eukaryota; Metazoa; Chordata; Mammalia; Rodentia; Muridae.